AAAAGGUCAUUUGCCCGAAAUUCAAUGUAUGUAUCAGUGAGAGGGGCUAAAGUUUGUAUGGAAGUCUAUGGGAAAACAUUUGGUGGUGUUUGUCCUAUAGAAAAGCGAUGCAUUCUCAAGAAGGAAGAGAUUAAUGAACCCUACCCUCUUACAAUGAACAACACAUGGAUACUCUCGGGAUGAUCCCUUUGCUUUCAUUAAGAGUUCCAAGAUGUGGGUCUGAUUGACUGGGGUGUGAAAUGUAACAGCCAAUGGUGUACUUAAGCGAUGCAUUCUCAAGAAGGAAGAGAUUAAUGAACCCUACCCUCUUACAAUGAACAACACAUGGAUACUCUCGGGAUGAUCCCUUUGCUUUCAUUAAGAGUUCCAAGAUGUGGGUCUGAUUGACUGGGGUGUGAAAUGUAACAGCCAAUGGUGUACUUAAGGUAAGACUGUCAGUCCCAAUAUUCAAGAGGUCAGAUAAGCAAUGGAUAUGUGUUCUAAAUUUACUAAAUUGACCACUUUUUACAAAUGUUUCUUUUACUCUAUACAUAAACAAAU
This is a long non-coding RNA of Saccostrea cuccullata (small rock oyster), 540 nucleotides long. RefSeq lists it as uncharacterized. Lineage: Eukaryota; Metazoa; Mollusca; Bivalvia; Ostreida; Ostreidae. The record is from RefSeq and is a predicted model, not a curated record. The transcript is spliced from 5 exons.